This 68-nucleotide ribosomal RNA is filed under the name uncultured bacterium. Its description in RNAcentral is "partial 16S ribosomal RNA". The record is from RNAcentral.
UAGUGUUCAGCAAGCAACAGAGUUGAAAAACGCCAUCCAGCAGCCGCGGUAAUAUCACUAGUGAAUUC